AUUGAACGCUGGCGGCAGGCCUAACACAUGCAAGUCGAGCGGAUGAAGGGAGCUUGCUCCUGGAUUCAGCGGCGGACGGGUGAGUAAUGCCUAGGAAUCUGCCUGGCAGGGGGGGAUAACGUCCGGAAACGGGCGCUAAUACUGCAUACGUCCUGCGGGUGCAAGUGGGGGAUCUUCGGAACUCACGCUAUCAGAUGAGCCUAGGUCGGAGUUGCUAGCUGGUGGGGUAAAGGCCUACCAAGGCGACGAUCCGCAACUGGUCUGAGAGGAUGAUCAGUCACACGGGAACUGAGACACGGUCCAGACUCCUACGGGAGGGAGCAGUGGGGAAUAUUGGACAAUGGGCGAAAGCCUGAUCCAGCCAUGCCGCGUGUGUGAAGAAGGUGUUCGGAUUGUAAAGCACGUUUAGUUGGGAGGAAGGGCAGUAAGUUAAUACCUUGCUGUUUUGACGGUACCAACAGAAUAAGCACCGGCUAACUUCGUG
Molecule: ribosomal RNA, 484 nt
Filed under: uncultured bacterium
Lineage: Bacteria
Description: partial 16S ribosomal RNA
Rfam family: Bacterial small subunit ribosomal RNA
Source: RNAcentral